This 473-nucleotide ribosomal RNA is filed under the name Megasphaera geminata. RNAcentral's name for it is "bacterial SSU rRNA". It matches the Rfam family "Bacterial small subunit ribosomal RNA", at positions 28 to 468 of the family's 1533-position model. The record is from RNAcentral. Lineage: Bacteria; Bacillati; Bacillota; Negativicutes; Veillonellales; Veillonellaceae.
GACGAACGCUGGCGGCGUGCGUAACACAUGCAAGUCGAACGAGAGAGUGAGAGAAGCUUGCUUUUCUUACGAUCGAGUGGCAAACGGGUGAGUAACGCGUAAACAACCUGCCCCGCAGAUGGGGACAACAGCUGGAAACGGCUGCUAAUACCGAAUACGGUCCUCUUAGCGCAUGGUAAGAGGAAGAAAGGGUGGCCUCUGGAACAAGCUACCGCUGUGGGAGGGGUUUGCGUCUGAUUAGCUGGUUGGAGGGGUAACGGCCCACCAAGGCGACGAUCAGUAGCCGGUCUGAGAGGAUGAACGGCCACAUUGGAACUGAGACACGGUCCAGACUCCUACGGGAGGCAGCAGUGGGGAAUCUUCCGCAAUGGGCGAAAGCCUGACGGAGCAACGCCGCGUGAGUGAAGACGGCCUUCGGGUUGUAAAGCUCUGUUAUAGGGGACGAACGGCCGGGUAGCGAAGAGGUACCCGGC